ACAGAGGGUGCAAACGUUGUUCGGAAUUACUGGGCGUAAAGCGCACGUAGGCGGCUUUGCAAGUCAGAGGUGAAAGCCCGGGGCUCAACCCCGGAAUUGCCUUUGAGACUGCAUCGCUAGAAUUGUGGAGAGGUAAGUGGAAUUCCGAGUGUAGAGGUGAAAUUCGUAGAUAUUCGGAAGAACACCAGUGGCGAAGGCGACUUACUGGACACAUGUUGACGCUGAGGUGCGAAAGCGUGGGGAGCAAACAGGA
This 253-nucleotide ribosomal RNA is filed under the name uncultured prokaryote. Its description in RNAcentral is "partial 16S ribosomal RNA". It matches the Rfam family "Bacterial small subunit ribosomal RNA", at positions 525 to 777 of the family's 1533-position model. The record is from RNAcentral.